AUUGAACGCUGGCGGCAGGCCUAACACAUGCAAGUCGAGCGGAGCGGCGGACGGGUGAGUAAUGCCUAGGAAUCUGCCUGGUAGUGGGGGAUAACGUACGGAAACGGGAGCUAAUACCGCAUACUAUCAGAUGAGCCUCGGGCGGAUUACCUAGUUGGUGGGGUAAAGGCCUAACAAGGCGACGAUCCGUAACUGGUCUGAGAGGAUGAUCAGUCACACUGGAACUGAGACACGGUCCAGACUCCUACGGGAGGCAGCAGUGGGGAAUAUUGGACAAGUGGCGAAAGCCUGAUCCAUCCAUGCCGCGUGUGUGAAGAAGGUCUUCGGAUUGUAAAGCACUUUAAGUUGGGAGGCGUUACCAACAGAAUAAGCACCGGCUAACUUCGUGCCAGCAGCCGCGGUAAUUC
This 407-nucleotide ribosomal RNA is filed under the name uncultured bacterium. RNAcentral's name for it is "partial 16S ribosomal RNA". It matches the Rfam family "Bacterial small subunit ribosomal RNA", at positions 30 to 526 of the family's 1533-position model. The record is from RNAcentral.